GGUAGGUGUUCUAAUCUACAACUCUUGCAAACCCUACCCAUUCCAAACGUACAUACGGCAGUAGACACCAUCAUCAAGGCCUCACUGCAUUUGAAAGAGUUCUUGUAUGUGGACUAAUUAAUCAGCUCGGAAUACGUGCCUUAAUCUUACCGAGCAAACCGAAGGUCGUUAGGUAUCUUGGAUUUGGGGAACUUGCUGUCUGGAGUAGAAGGAGUGGUCAUGGGUCGACUAGAAGGAUUUGUGUGAUUGGAUUAUUUAUACUAUACGAUGGUUUUUGAAACAGUUUAACAUUGGUUUACUAUUUGCU
This 307-nucleotide long non-coding RNA is filed under the name Helianthus annuus (common sunflower). Its description in RNAcentral is "sRNA HanXRQr2_Chr02g0083031". The record is from RNAcentral. Lineage: Eukaryota; Viridiplantae; Streptophyta; Magnoliopsida; Asterales; Asteraceae.